RNAcentral lists this ribosomal RNA (232 nucleotides) under uncultured bacterium. RNAcentral describes it as "partial 16S ribosomal RNA". It matches the Rfam family "Bacterial small subunit ribosomal RNA", at positions 118 to 351 of the family's 1533-position model. The record is from RNAcentral.
UGAGUAACCUGCCCCCGACUCUGGGAUAACCCCGGGAAACCGGAGCUAAUACCGGAUACGACCCACACAGGCAUCUACGUGGGUGGAAAGAUUUAUCGGUCAGGGAUGGACUCGCGGCCUAUCAGCUUGUUGGUGAGGUAACGGCUCACCAAGGCGACGACGGGUAGCCGGCCUGAGAGGGUGACCGGCCACACUGGGACUGAGACACGGCCCAGACUCCUACGGGAGGCAG